This 711-nucleotide ribosomal RNA is filed under the name Pediococcus pentosaceus. Its description in RNAcentral is "bacterial SSU rRNA". It matches the Rfam family "Bacterial small subunit ribosomal RNA", at positions 550 to 1262 of the family's 1533-position model. The record is from RNAcentral. Lineage: Bacteria; Bacillati; Bacillota; Bacilli; Lactobacillales; Lactobacillaceae.
UUUAUUGGGCGUAAGCGAGCGCAGGCGGUCUUUUAAGUCUAAUGUGAAAGCCUUCGGCUCAMCCGAAGAAGUGCAUUGGAAACUGGGAGACUUGAGUGCAGAAGAGGACAGUGGAACUCCAUGUGUAGCGGUGAAAUGCGUAGAUAUAUGGAAGAACACCAGUGGCGAAGGCGGCUGUCUGGUCUGCAACUGACGCUGAGGCUCGAAAGCAUGGGUAGCGAACAGGAUUAGAUACCCUGGUAGUCCAUGCCGUAAACGAUGAUUACUAAGUGUUGGAGGGUUUCCGCCCUUCAGUGCUGCAGCUAACGCAUUAAGUAAUCCGCCUGGGGAGUACGACCGCAAGGUUGAAACUCAAAAGAAUUGACGGGGGCCCGCACAAGCGGUGGAGCAUGUGGUUUAAUUCGAAGCUACGCGAAGAACCUUACCAGGUCUUGACAUCUUCUGACAGUCUAAGAGAUUAGAGGUUCCCUUCGGGGACAGAAUGACAGGUGGUGCAUGGUUGUCGUCAGCUCGUGUCGUGAGAUGUUGGGUUAAGUCCCGCAACGAGCGCAACCCUUAUUACUAGUUGCCAGCAUUAAGUUGGGCACUCUAGUGAGACUGCCGGUGACAAACCGGAGGAAGGUGGGGACGACGUCAAAUCAUCAUGCCCCUUAUGACCUGGGCUACACACGUGCUACAAUGGAUGGUACAACGAGUCGCGAGACCGCGAGG